RNAcentral lists this transfer RNA (73 nucleotides) under Lachnospiraceae bacterium. RNAcentral describes it as "tRNA-Thr". It matches the Rfam family "tRNA". Rfam says of the family: Transfer RNA (tRNA) molecules are approximately 80 nucleotides in length. Their secondary structure includes four short double-helical elements and three loops (D, anti-codon, and T loops). Further hydrogen bonds mediate the characteristic L-shaped molecular structure. tRNAs have two regions of fundamental functional importance: the anti-codon, which is responsible for specific mRNA codon recognition, and the 3' end, to which the tRNAs corresponding amino acid is attached (by aminoacyl-tRNA synthetases). tRNAs cope with the degeneracy of the genetic code in two manners: having more than one tRNA (with a specific anti-codon) for a particular amino acid; and 'wobble' base-pairing, i.e. permitting non-standard base-pairing at the 3rd anti-codon position. Lineage: Bacteria; Bacillati; Bacillota; Clostridia; Lachnospirales; Lachnospiraceae. The record is from RNAcentral.
GCUGGAAUAGCACAGUUGGUAGUGCACUUCACUCGUAAUGAAGGGGUCGUGGGUUCGAGUCCCAUUUCCAGCU